Molecule: ribosomal RNA, 253 nt
Filed under: uncultured bacterium
Lineage: Bacteria
Description: partial 16S ribosomal RNA
Rfam family: Bacterial small subunit ribosomal RNA
Source: RNAcentral
UACAGAGGUCCCAAGCGUUGUUCGGAUUCACUGGGCGUAAAGGGUGCGUAGGUGGUGGGGUAAGUUUGAUGUGAAAGCUCCGAGCUUAACUCGGAAAUGGCAUUGAAUACUAUCUCGCUAGAGGAUUGGAGGGGGGACUGGAAUUCUCGGUGUAGCAGUGAAAUGCGUAGAUAUCUGGAGGAACACCGGUGGCGAAGGCGGCAUCCUGGACCAACACUGACGCUGAGGAGCGAAAGCCAGGGGAGCGAACGGG